Molecule: unclassified non-coding RNA, 422 nt
Filed under: Bombus terrestris (buff-tailed bumblebee)
Lineage: Eukaryota; Metazoa; Arthropoda; Insecta; Hymenoptera; Apidae
Description: misc RNA ENSBTSG00005029828.1
Source: RNAcentral
CCGAAAUCCAAUCCCUCUUGCGUUAGUCAUUCGACAUGCAGGCGACUUAUUUCAAAUUUGGGAACGUGUCGGAUCGGUUGUGAUGUUGGACAGGAUUUUUACGAGCGAGCGGAGCGAGCGAGCAACGAUCACAAUUUGCAAGCUAUACAUAUACCUUAUAUUGCCUUGCAUAUAAUUCGUGUUAUUACCUAAUUUUGUCAGACAUUUCGGACAUCACAUUGCAGUGUACGAUGUGGAAAUAGUACUGCUUAUGUGAAACUAUUCAUAAACUGUAUACAUUUGUGUUGUUAUUUUAUGUUUUAGAGGUAGGAUCGCGUUAGUUAUUAUUAUGUUAUAUAGAUAAUAAAUCUACACUUCUCGAGGCAGAAAGAACUUUAUUGCACACACUUAGAAGGGUCACAAACGAAUAAAAAAAAAAAAAA